Molecule: long non-coding RNA, 589 nt
Filed under: Homo sapiens (human)
Lineage: Eukaryota; Metazoa; Chordata; Mammalia; Primates; Hominidae
Description: HSALNT0128060
Source: RNAcentral
GCUUUUUAACUGGAUGUGAUUCCAUUUGUCCAUUAUUGUCUUGGUUGCCUGUGCUUGUGGGGUAUUGCUCAAGAAUGUUUGCCCAGAUUAAAGUUCCGGAGAUUUUCCAAAAUAAGUUUUCUUUUAGUAGUUUCAUAGUUUGAGGUCUUAGAUUUAAGUCUUUAAUCCAAUUUUAUUUUUGUAUAUGGUCUCAUUUAUUCUUCUGCAUAUGGAUAUACAGUUUUUUCAGCACCUUUUAUUAAAGAGUCUGCUUUUUCCCCAAUGCUGAAGAAGAUCCCAGUGAUGUAUACACAAAGAACAGACCCUGUGAGGAUGCAAUGAGAAGGCAGCCAUGGAGGGGGCACUUGGGAGAAACUAAAACUUCUGACACCUUGAUCUUAGGCUUCCAGCCUCAAGAACUGUGAGAAAACAUAUUUCUCUUGUUUAAGCCACCCAAUAUACAGUAUUUUCUUAUGGUAUGCCUAGGAAAUUAUGCAGUAAAUAUUUAGCUAGAGUAUCCUUGGAAGUUGCAAGAAAUAUCAGAAUCAGUAAACUCUUCUAGACUCCAGAUAUCUAGAGGACAAAUUUUCAAGCACAUAGAUCAAAUCCA